Molecule: ribosomal RNA, 253 nt
Filed under: uncultured bacterium
Lineage: Bacteria
Description: partial 16S ribosomal RNA
Rfam family: Bacterial small subunit ribosomal RNA
Source: RNAcentral
UACGUAGGGUCCGAGCGUUGUCCGGAAUUAUUGGGCGUAAAGGGCUCGUAGGCGGUUUGUCGCGUCGGGAGUGAAAACACCGGGCUUAACUCGGUGCUUGCUUUCGAUACGGGCAGACUGGAGGUAUGCAGGGGAGAACGGAAUUCCUGGUGUAGCGGUGAAAUGCGCAGAUAUCAGGAGGAACACCGGUGGCGAAGGCGGUUCUCUGGGCAUUACCUGACGCUGAGGAGCGAAAGUGUGGGGAGCAAACAGG